UGUUCAAUUAGAGUCUACGUAAUGACGCAGUUUUACGUUAUUAUGUAAUGACGUCAUCACGCAAUGACAUCACAACGUCUAUAAGCAACAAAUCAACUUCCUCUGGAAAUUAGUUGGCAACACUGGGCGGAAUGCGGCGAAAGCAUCUACCGAUGCCGACGACUCGAAUGUGCUGCUCUGAAAUGCAGGACAGAUGCCAGGGAAGUCCAGCAGACUGACACGUGAGUGCAUUGACUUACCACCAGGAUCAUUAGAUGUGUUC
Salvelinus sp. IW2-2015 is the source of this 262-nucleotide long non-coding RNA. RefSeq lists it as uncharacterized. The record is from RefSeq and is a predicted model, not a curated record. NCBI's taxonomy places the organism in Eukaryota, Metazoa, Chordata, Actinopteri, Salmoniformes, Salmonidae.